GGACAAUUUGGGUGUCACAUUUUUCACCCCAGUGUUAAUUUGGCUAACCUUGCUGCCUAGGAGAGUGUGUCCUUCAGAAGUUCUUCAUGUAUCCCGCCUGAAGUCUCAGUCUUAGUCAAGGAGGAACCUUCCUGACUGCGGAACAUCAUUCUUUUGCCUCCAGAAUCCAUGUAACCGAGCUCCGCCUCUAGAACCUCUAAACAUGUUCUCAAGGUCAAAUAUGAAUGGUUCCAUUUCUUGAACAUAUUAAUAGUGUUACUUUCUAGUAUAAAUAU
Mus musculus (house mouse) is the source of this 275-nucleotide non-coding RNA. NCBI's taxonomy places the organism in Eukaryota, Metazoa, Chordata, Mammalia, Rodentia, Muridae. The record is from Rfam.